Molecule: non-coding RNA, 56 nt
Organism: Skermanella aerolata KACC 11604
Lineage: Bacteria; Pseudomonadati; Pseudomonadota; Alphaproteobacteria; Rhodospirillales; Azospirillaceae
Source: Rfam
UCAAUCGUCCGGGCCCCUCUGGCAACCUUCCCCGGUUGCGAUGUCGGACGCGCCGC